AACGAACGCUGGCGGCAUGCCUAACACAUGCAAGUCGAACGAGACCUUCGGGUCUAGUGGCGCACGGGUGCGUAACGCGUGGGAACCUGCCCUUAGGUUCGGGAUAACUCCCCGAAAGGGGUGCUAAUACCGGAUAAUGUCUUCGGACCAAAGAUUUAUCGCCCUUGGAUGGGCCCGCGUUGGAUUAGCUAGUUGGUAGGGUAAAAGCCUACCAAGGCGACGAUCCAUAGCUGGUCUGAGAGGAUGAUCAGCCACACUGGGACUGAGACACGGCCCAGACUCCUACGGGAGGCAGCAGUGGGGAAUAUUGGACAAUGGGCGAAAGCCUGAUCCAGCAAUGCCGCGUGAGUGAUGAAGGCCUUAGGGUUGUAAAGCUCUUUUACCCGGGAUGAUAAUGACAGUACCGGGAGAAUAAGCUCCGGCUAACUCCGUG
Molecule: ribosomal RNA, 433 nt
Filed under: uncultured bacterium
Lineage: Bacteria
Description: partial 16S ribosomal RNA
Rfam family: Bacterial small subunit ribosomal RNA
Source: RNAcentral